GAGAUUAAAAUGUACAUUUAAACAUAAUUAAAUAACAUUUCUUUAAACAACAUUCCGUUUUAAGCACACAAUAAAAAACGAUUUUUCUGUCAUAAUUAACAUUUUCGUUCCUACGCAGAACUGCUUUGGCGGAAGCAUAAUUCCCGAAACCAGGGGAAUAUGAUGCGCCUUAGUAUAGAGGUGACAAUAACAUAGUGACGUCACCAUCUAUGUAUAGAAAAGACAAAGUUAAAUUAAAAAAAAUGCUUGAUAAGAUUGGGAACUUUUCUUUAAAAAAAUGCACGCAGGUUUUAUUUUAAUGACAUCACCAUUCACAAGGGUAGAUGAUAUAAUACUUAUACACUCUUUGUUACUUUUAUUGCAACAUGUUAAUACAGUGACCAUUGAAAAACCAGCAGCACGUAGAUGAGCAUCUUACAGUGUAAAACGUGCAAGGAAUGCUGCUCGAAGGGCUGAUAAGAAGAUUAGUAUGUUUCACAACGAAAAAAUAGCAAUCCAUGUUUUAUUUACAGAGACUGGUGGACAUUUUUGAAACCAUUUCGUACAUGAAAAGCAUGGUCAUCUUAUUCUCAUGAAGAAAAGUUUAAUUUUAUAUAGCAAUACAAUGCGUGUGAUUGCCUAAAUUUCACUCACUAAAAAAGUGUGUAUAGUUUCCAUAUUCUGACGAAUUUGCCUAUAAAACAAUUCCUUGGUUUGUUACUGCCCCAUGUCAUUCUAAUUUACUGUUAAACUUGUAAGCAUUUGUCAAUUAUAAUGCAGCUAACAACGUUUUCUACUUUGUUUCCAGUUACUCUUGCUAAGAAACAUUCCAGUUACUCUUGCUAAGAAACAUUCUGCAACUCCUGAAACCAGACAUGGGAACAUCACUUUAAUAUCUUUAAUAGGCUGCCAAUAUGCAAGACUGUUGAAAAGAAGCUUCAAUUACCAAUAGGGUAGGUUAAAAAACAACAGGGAAAUGUCUGAAGGAGAUUAAAGAAAGAUCUCCUAUUCUUUCCAGAGGUCAGAUCAUCAUGAAGCUGUCACAUUUAAGAAAAGCCCAACCAGACAACACGCCGAAGCAUUCCAGGAGUGGGAGGCUAAUAAAGCCAAAGUUAAAAGGACCAGACUUUGUCUAACUAUAGACAUUCUGCGAUGUUGAAAUACAUUUAAAAACACCAGUUUGAAUCAUCAUCCUCAUUGAAUGUUUCCUUUUUGCCUUGUUAACAAAUGUGUUAUAUCUUUGUUCAAUUUAAAUAAGUUAAUAUUACUAGUCCAAAAGAGCAGAUUCAUCUUAAAACGUUGAGAAUCUAUUGACACAAUGGUUGUGUUGGCAAUAGUACUUUCAUUUACAAAUAUAAUGACAAUAGUUAAAAUAAUUAACAUUUUUAACUAAGCUUCAUUGUAGAAUUGUUGUAGUUUUGAGACUUGUCAGUUGUUUAUAGUAGAUUUUUAUGAACAAAUAUGUUGCACAAUAUCUGAUUGUUUAUGGUGGAAAAGUGAACAAAUAUUUAAGACAUAAAUUUCUAAACAAUAGAUUGUAACCAUGUUACAGUCCAUUAAAUCUAUUUCAGAUGCUGAGUUUCAGUACAGUUCUUUAAUUUCUUUCUGUUGAAUGGGUUAUAAGAAACACAUAUUUUGGCUCAUCUGAGCACAUUAUUCUCAUAGUGAGCUUUUGUGAGCGCAUUUUGUGUUUCAUGCGGUGCCAAUGUGUACACGCUUGAUACCACAUUUAUCAUCCAAUCUUCGUUAUACUAAAUAAGGAUUUUGUCCCACAUAUAUCCAGUACAAGAUUGUAACUGGUUUGUGUGAGGUCAAUCUUGAUAACAUCUACUCCAAGUUCAAAUCUGGGUAAGAUGUGUCCUGAAUAAAGAUCACAUGUUAAAAUUUUAUUUAAAAUAAAACGUGACUUCUUUUGAUGCCGCAUUUAUGCUUCAGUCUUGAUUAAAUGUUAUAUUUCACAAUACCUAGUCUAAGUUAUGUGUGUCCACUAAGUCCAGUUAAGAUUAUUGGUUCACCUUGAACUCAUGACAGCGAAUCAGGGAUAUCAUGGCCAACUUGUCU
This is a long non-coding RNA of Dreissena polymorpha, 2040 nucleotides long. RefSeq lists it as uncharacterized. Lineage: Eukaryota; Metazoa; Mollusca; Bivalvia; Myida; Dreissenidae. The record is from RefSeq and is a predicted model, not a curated record. The transcript is spliced from 3 exons.